AUGGUUCAUCGCAGCUAGCUGUAUCGCUAUCCGCGAUAAUUACGCGCAAAUUACGCUUACGAAAAGCCGGCCCUGCGAUCCCAUUGCUCUCCGUCCUCCCCGCCAAACAGAAGGGACAUGCUUUUAAGAGAAUGAAGUCUGGCGCGCAACCACGGGACAGCAGACUGCUUGUAGCAGUGAAAUCUCGGAAAUACAUAGGAUGAAGAGAUAGACUCUGAUAUGGCGAACAUCUGGCGACGACCAGCCGCUUCAGACCGGGCCGAGAAAAAGGUUCGUGGAACAGAAGGGAGAGAAACGAGGUAAAAAAGGCGACGAAGGAAGGACGCGAGCCAUAAAUAAGCAUCGGGGAAAAAGCGUAAUCCCUUAUCGUUUGUGUAUUCUACAGCGACGCCUAACAAUAAAGGAAAAGUUUCUUCGUUCUUCGUUCUCUCUGCCGUCUCGGUCCUGGUCAUCCUUUUCGUGCACCGUUUCUCCCCGCCCUUCUUCAGCACCGCUCGCAAAUCGUAUGUCGCCCCCGGAUGGAGGAGGAAAAAGCGAGCGCAGUCUGUCUCGCGUUUGUCGACAGGGGUGCAGUCCCGGGCUUCGGGAGCUAAAGCAAAGAGGGUGGUGGCAGAAGAAACGUAGAUUUCAACUGCACGGAACGGAGGGAGGCAUCGCGAAGCGUGGAUAUGACGAAGGGAAAUAAGAAAAAGAAAGAUACGCGAAGAAACAGCGGAAGAACGAGGGAAAAAGACAGGUGGGAUUGUGAAAUAGAGGGAUGAGAGCGCGGGGGAGAAAGAGGCAGAAAGAACGAAAGAAAGAAGGGGGUUAAGAAAUCUUUUAAGAGAUGCGACGCUUUAAGGACGUAUUAAAAAUGGCAGGCGGCGGAGAGGCCCGAGGUGCAGCCUGCAGUUUACUGUGGUAUAAAUUAGACUCGCUGUUCCAGCAUAAUCUGAUAUAUUAACGAGUCAAACCUCGGUUCUCUGCGCUCUCUCUGCCGCGACGAGAAGGAACACAUCGUCGAAAGACGAGGACACGGCUAAACGUUGCGUAGCCAGGUGAAAAAGGGAUGAAACAACUGACGAAGAACGAAAGGAACAAAGAUGGGAGGAGAAAAGAACAAGCCGGGAUAUCAACGAUGACAACGAGGAUCCACCGAUGAAGCAGGAGAGGACAGGAGGGUCGCAUUCCAUCGGAUCGAGAUUUAUUUGCCGAAUAAAUGUUGAGAAG
This 1209-nucleotide unclassified non-coding RNA is filed under the name Bombus terrestris (buff-tailed bumblebee). RNAcentral's name for it is "misc RNA ENSBTSG00005030260.1". Lineage: Eukaryota; Metazoa; Arthropoda; Insecta; Hymenoptera; Apidae. The record is from RNAcentral.